UACGUAGGGGGCAAGCGUUGUCCGGAAUCAUUGGGCGUAAAGCGCGUGUAAGCGGUCCGGUAAGUCGGUUGUGAAAGUCCAGGGCUCAACCCUGGGAUGCCGACCGAUACUGUCGGACUAGAGUUCGGAAGAGGCGAGUGGAAUUCCCGGUGUAGCGGUGAAAUGCGCAGAUAUCGGGAGGAACACCAAUGGCGAAGGCAGCUCGCUGGGACGUUACUGACGCUGAGACGCGAAAGCGUGGGGAGCAAACAGG
This 253-nucleotide ribosomal RNA is filed under the name uncultured bacterium. RNAcentral describes it as "partial 16S ribosomal RNA". It matches the Rfam family "Bacterial small subunit ribosomal RNA", at positions 524 to 776 of the family's 1533-position model. The record is from RNAcentral.